AUAAGUAGGUCAUAGAUCGAGGCAGUAAACACAAAUGCAUUACCGUGCCUUUUUAGACCUUGCUUGAUUUGCCCUCGAUCCCCCUUGGGAAGGGGAGGAGCACAAUGCAUGGGCAAGGGCCAGGCCAAGCAGAUGGGGGAUGCAACUGCGCCUGCGCGGCACCACGCCACACUCGGAUCACCCUGCGGCCUGCGCGCUCCAGCUCCAUCGCUUUCUAUCCGCUUAUCCGGCGGCCGGGCCGGCCAGCCGGCCGGCUGGGGGCUUCAAUCCACAGAAAGCUUUCUUGGAUCACUAACCCUCGAGAUCCCCUAGCAUAGGCAUAGCUACGUACCUGACCACCUCAGUGGCUGCAUGCCACAGCACACACAACACCCUUUCCCUUUUUUAACCCUCCACCUGCACUCCACAUGGCCUGCCCCGCCGCAUGGAGCCCCUCGGCCCGCGCAUUGUCUCCUUUGGUCCUU
Molecule: long non-coding RNA, 464 nt
Filed under: Setaria italica (foxtail millet)
Lineage: Eukaryota; Viridiplantae; Streptophyta; Magnoliopsida; Poales; Poaceae
Description: long non-coding RNA (SITA_LNC002057)
Source: RNAcentral